RNAcentral lists this ribosomal RNA (935 nucleotides) under Craterellus tubaeformis. RNAcentral describes it as "partial large subunit ribosomal RNA". It matches the Rfam family "Eukaryotic large subunit ribosomal RNA", at positions 63 to 964 of the family's 3401-position model. The record is from RNAcentral. Lineage: Eukaryota; Fungi; Basidiomycota; Agaricomycetes; Cantharellales; Hydnaceae.
AACUAACAAGGAUUCCCUCAGUAACGGCGAGUGAAGAGGGAAGAGCUCAGUUUUGAAAUCUGGCAGUCAUUCACUGUCCGAGUUGUAAAUUGAAGAGAUUGUCAUCCACACUGGACCAUGUCUAAAUUGUAAUGAUCCACAGUCCUUUGAUGGAGUAUCAGAGAGGGUAAUAAUCCCGUCUUUAACGUGGACUCCCAGUGUUUAUGUGAUGCAUUCUCUCAGAGUCGAGUAGUUUGGGAAUGCUGCUCUAAUGGGAGGUAAACUCCUUCUAAAGCUAAAUAUUGGCGAGAGACCGAUAGCGAACAAGUACCGUGAGGGAAAGAUGAAAAGAACUCUGAAAAGAGAGUCAAACAGAACGUGAAAUUGCUGAAAGGGAAGCGUUUGGAGUCAGAUGCGUCUUCAUGGAAUAACGGCUUCUGCAAAGAAGGUCAGUGACUUGAAGAUGGGCCAGCACUCACGUAGACCAUUGGAAAAGGGGUCAUUGGAAUGUAGCUCACUUGUUGAGUGAUUAUAGCCUUGAUUCAUAUACAAUGUGUGUGUUAUGUGAGAUAGACAGCACGACUCACUCAGUCAGUGCUUGCUUGAUUGGCAUAAUGGCUCUAAGCGACCCGUCUUGAAACACGGACCAAGGAGUCUAACAUGUAUGCGAGUAUUAGAGUGAUUGAAACUCUGAAUGCGCAAUGAAAGUGGUCUUUGACUGAGAAUCCUCAGUUAGGGGAGGCAUCAGUACCCCGAGUCUGCUAGUCUUUGACUAAAGAUUUGGAGGUAGAGCAUAUAUGUUGGGACCCGAAAGAUGGUGAACUAUGCCUGAAUAGGGUGAAGUCAGAGGAAACUCUGAUGGAGGCCCGUAGCGAUUCUGACGUGCAAAUCGAUCGUAGAAUUUGGGUAUAGGGGCGAAAGACUAAUCGAACCAUCUAGUAGCUGGUUCCUGCCGA